Molecule: ribosomal RNA, 448 nt
Filed under: uncultured bacterium
Lineage: Bacteria
Description: bacterial SSU rRNA
Rfam family: Bacterial small subunit ribosomal RNA
Source: RNAcentral
UCGGGAAUUUUGGGCAAUGGGGGAAACCCUGACCCAGCAACGCCGCGUGAAGGAUGAAGUAUUUCGGUAUGUAAACUUCGAAAGAAUAGGAAGAAUAAAUGACGGUACUAUUUUAUAAGGUCCGGCUAACUACGUGCCAGCAGCCGCGGUAAUACGUAGGGUGCAGGCGUUAAUCGGAAUUACUGGGCGUAAAGCGUGCGCAGGCGGCUCCUUAAGUCAGAUGUGAAAUCCCCGGGCUUAACCUGGGAACUGCGUUUGAAACUGAGGGGCUAGAGUGUGGAAGAGGGGGGUGGAAUUCCAGGUGUAGCAGUGAAAUGCGUAGAGAUCUGGAGGAACACCGAUGGCGAAGGCAGCCCCCUGGGCUAACACUGACGCUCAUGCACGAAAGCGUGGGGAGCAAACAGGAUUAGAUACCCGCGUAGUCCCUGAGCGGGCUGGCAAGGCGCAU